GAUGAGCCCGCGUCGGAUUAGCUAGUUGGUGGGGUAAUGGCCUACCAAGGCGACGAUCCGUAGCUGGUCUAAGAGGAUGAUCAGCCACAUUGGGACUGAGACACGGCCCAAACUCCUACGGGAGGCAGCAGUGGGGAAUAUUGGACAAUGGGCGCAAGCCUGAUCCAGCCAUGCCGCGUGAGUGAUGAAGGCCCUAGGGUUGUAAAGCUCUUUCAGUGGGGACGAUAAUGACGGUACCCACAGAAGAAGCCCCGGCUAACUUCGUGCCAGCAGCCGCGGUAAUACGAAGGGGGCUAGCGUUGUUCGGAAUUACUGGGCGUAAAGCGCACGUAGGCGGAUAUUUAAGUCAGGGGUGAAAUCCCGGGGCUCAACCCCGGAACUGCCUUUGAUACUGGGUAUCUUGAGUGUGGUAGAGGUGAGUGGAAUUGCGAGUGUAGAGGUGAAAUUCGUAGAUAUUCGCAGGAACACCAGUGGCGAAGGCGGCUCACUGGACCACAACUGACGCUGAGGUGCGAAGCGUGGGGAGCAAACAGGAUUAGAUACCCUGGUAGUCCACGCC
This 559-nucleotide ribosomal RNA is filed under the name uncultured bacterium. RNAcentral describes it as "bacterial SSU rRNA". It matches the Rfam family "Bacterial small subunit ribosomal RNA", at positions 224 to 801 of the family's 1533-position model. The record is from RNAcentral.